Molecule: ribosomal RNA, 446 nt
Filed under: uncultured bacterium
Lineage: Bacteria
Description: partial 16S ribosomal RNA
Rfam family: Bacterial small subunit ribosomal RNA
Source: RNAcentral
CCUACGGGUGGCAGCAGUCGAGAAUCAUUCACAAUGGGGGAAACCCUGAUCGUGCGACGCCGCGUGGGGGAAUGAAGGUCUUCGGAUUGUAAACCCCUGUCAUGUGGGAGCAAAUUAAAAAGAUAGUACCACAAGAGGAAGAGACGGCUAACUCCGUGCCAGGAGCCGCGGUAAUACAGAGGUCUCAAGCGUUGUUCGGAAUCACUGGGCGUAAAGCGUGCGUAGGCAGUUUCGUAAGUCGUGUGUGAAAGGCGCGGGCUCGACCCGCGGACGGCACAUGAUACUGCGAGACUAGAGUAGUGGAGAAGGAACCGGAAUUCUCGGUGUAGCAGUGAAAUGCGUAGAUAUCGAGAGGAACACUCGUGGCGAAGGCGGGUUCCUGGACAUUAACUGACGCUGAGGCACGAAGGCCAGGGGAGCGAAAGGGAUUAGAUACCCCUGUAGUC